Molecule: ribosomal RNA, 735 nt
Filed under: uncultured bacterium
Lineage: Bacteria
Description: bacterial SSU rRNA
Rfam family: Bacterial small subunit ribosomal RNA
Source: RNAcentral
AGAGUUUGAUCCUGGCUCAGAAUCAACGCUGGCGGCGUGCCUCAGACAUGCAAGUCGAACGAUUAAAGCUCCCUUCGGGGAGUGCAUAAAGUGGCGCACGGGUGAGUAACACGUAAGUAAUCUACCUUCGAGUGGGGAAUAACCCGGGGAAACCCGAGCUAAUACCGCAUAACGCAGCGGCAUCGCAAGAUGACAGUUGUUAAAGGAGCAAUCCGCUUGAAGAGGAGCUUGCGGCAGAUUAGCUAGUUGGUAAGGUAACGGCUUACCAAGGCUACGAUCUGUAUCCGGUCUAAGAGGACGGUCGGACACACUGACACUGAAUAACGGGUCAGACUCCUACGGGAGGCAGCAGUCGGGAAUUUUGGGCAAUGGGGGAAACCCUGACCCAGCAACGCCGCGUGAAGGAUGAAGUAUUUCGGUAUGUAAACUUCGAAAGAAUGGGAAGAAUAAAUGACGGUACCAUUUAUAAGCUCCGGCUAACUACGUGCCAGCAGCCGCGGUAAUACGUAGGGAGCAAGCGUUGUUCGGAUUUACUGGGCGUAAAGGGCGCGUAGGCGGCGCGGUAAGUCACUUGUGAAAUCUCUGAGCUUAACUCAGAACGGCCAAGUGAUACUGCAGUGCUAGAGUGCAGAAAGGGCAAUCGGAAUUCUUGGUGUAGCGGUGAAAUGCGUAGAUAUCAAGAGGAACACCUGAGGCGAAGGCGGGUUGCUAGGCUGACACUGACGCUGAGGCGCG